ACUUGCGGGGGGCACUUCGCUGGGCACGCGCCCCAGGCGCACCCAGAAACCCUUUGUGAACUUAUACCUUACUGUUGCCUCGGCGUGCGCUGGCCCCUAGGGGUCCCUCUUGUCUCAAGAGGAGCAGGCGCGCCGGCGGCCAAGUUAACUCUUGUUUUUACACUGAAACUCUGAGAAAAAAACAAAAAUGAAUCAAAACUUUCAACAACGGAUCUCUUGGUUCUGGCAUCGAUGAAGAACGCAGCGAAAUGCGAUAAGUAAUGUGAAUUGCAGAAUUCAGUGAAUCAUCGAAUCUUUGAACGCACAUUGCGCCCUCCGGUAUUCCGGAGGGCAUGCCUGUUCGAGCGUCAUUUCAACCCUCAAGCCUGGUUUGGUGUUGGGGCACUGCCUGUAAAGGGGCAGGCCCUCAAAUCUAGUGGCGAGCUCGCCAGGACCCCGAGCGUAGGAUUUAAACCCUCGCUUUGGAAGGCCGUGGGGGCGCCCUGCCGUUAAACCCACAACUCUUUAAAAGUUUGACCUCGGAACAUGUGAGGCGAAUACCCGCUGAACAAGCAUAUCAAUA
RNAcentral lists this ribosomal RNA (562 nucleotides) under Diaporthe sp. 5V. RNAcentral describes it as "eukaryotic LSU rRNA". The stretch from base 197 to 350 matches the Rfam family "5.8S ribosomal RNA". The record is from RNAcentral. Lineage: Eukaryota; Fungi; Ascomycota; Sordariomycetes; Diaporthales; Diaporthaceae.